This 82-nucleotide transfer RNA is filed under the name Actinomycetota bacterium. Its description in RNAcentral is "tRNA-Tyr". It matches the Rfam family "tRNA". Rfam says of the family: Transfer RNA (tRNA) molecules are approximately 80 nucleotides in length. Their secondary structure includes four short double-helical elements and three loops (D, anti-codon, and T loops). Further hydrogen bonds mediate the characteristic L-shaped molecular structure. tRNAs have two regions of fundamental functional importance: the anti-codon, which is responsible for specific mRNA codon recognition, and the 3' end, to which the tRNAs corresponding amino acid is attached (by aminoacyl-tRNA synthetases). tRNAs cope with the degeneracy of the genetic code in two manners: having more than one tRNA (with a specific anti-codon) for a particular amino acid; and 'wobble' base-pairing, i.e. permitting non-standard base-pairing at the 3rd anti-codon position. The record is from RNAcentral. Lineage: Bacteria; Bacillati; Actinomycetota.
GGCGGGGUUCCGGAGCGGUCAAACGGGUGCGGCUGUAAACCGCAUGGCUCUGCCUUCGCAGGUUCGAAUCCUGCCCCCGCCA